RNAcentral lists this ribosomal RNA (2395 nucleotides) under Klebsiella pneumoniae. RNAcentral's name for it is "partial 23S ribosomal RNA". It matches the Rfam family "Bacterial large subunit ribosomal RNA", at positions 419 to 2801 of the family's 2925-position model. RNAcentral also lists the same sequence under 1 other name. Lineage: Bacteria; Pseudomonadati; Pseudomonadota; Gammaproteobacteria; Enterobacterales; Enterobacteriaceae. The record is from RNAcentral.
GGGACACGUGGUAUCCUGUCUGAAUAUGGGGGGACCAUCCUCCAAGGCUAAAUACUCCUGACUGACCGAUAGUGAACCAGUACCGUGAGGGAAAGGCGAAAAGAACCCCGGCGAGGGGAGUGAAAAAGAACCUGAAACCGUGUACGUACAAGCAGUGGGAGCACCUUCGGGUGUGACUGCGUACCUUUUGUAUAAUGGGUCAGCGACUUAUAUUCUGUAGCAAGGUUAACCGUAUAGGGGAGCCGCAGGGAAACCGAGUCUUAACUGGGCGUUAAGUUGCAGGGUAUAGACCCGAAACCCGGUGAUCUAGCCAUGGGCAGGUUGAAGGUUGGGUAACACUAACUGGAGGACCGAACCGACUAAUGUUGAAAAAUUAGCGGAUGACUUGUGGCUGGGGGUGAAAGGCCAAUCAAACCGGGAGAUAGCUGGUUCUCCCCGAAAGCUAUUUAGGUAGCGCCUCGUGAACUCAUCUUCGGGGGUAGAGCACUGUUUCGGCUAGGGGGUCAUCCCGACUUACCAACCCGAUGCAAACUACGAAUACCGAAGAAUGUUAUCACGGGAGACACACGGCGGGUGCUAACGUCCGUCGUGAAGAGGGAAACAACCCAGACCGCCAGCUAAGGUCCCAAAGUCAUGGUUAAGUGGGAAACGAUGUGGGAAGGCACAGACAGCCAGGAUGUUGGCUUAGAAGCAGCCAUCAUUUAAAGAAAGCGUAAUAGCUCACUGGUCGAGUCGGCCUGCGCGGAAGAUGUAACGGGGCUAAACCAUGCACCGAAGCUGCGGCAGCGACACUAUGUGUUGUUGGGUAGGGGAGCGUUCUGUAAGCCUGCGAAGGUGUGCUGUGAGGCAUGCUGGAGGUAUCAGAAGUGCGAAUGCUGACAUAAGUAACGAUAAAGCGGGUGAAAAGCCCGCUCGCCGGAAGACCAAGGGUUCCUGUCCAACGUUAAUCGGGGCAGGGUGAGUCGACCCCUAAGGCGAGGCCGAAAGGCGUAGUCGAUGGGAAACAGGUUAAUAUUCCUGUACUUGGUGUUACUGCGAAGGGGGGACGGAGAAGGCUAUGUUAGCCGGGCGACGGUUGUCCCGGUUUAAGCAUGUAGGCUGGUUAUCCAGGCAAAUCCGGAUAAUCAAGGCUGAGGUGUGAUGACGAGGCACUACGGUGCUGAAGUAACAAAUGCCCUGCUUCCAGGAAAAGCCUCUAAGCAUCAGGUAACAUCAAAUCGUACCCCAAACCGACACAGGUGGUCAGGUAGAGAAUACCAAGGCGCUUGAGAGAACUCGGGUGAAGGAACUAGGCAAAAUGGUGCCGUAACUUCGGGAGAAGGCACGCUGGUGUGUAGGUGAAGUCCCUGCGGAUGGAGCUGAGACCAGUCGAAGAUACCAGCUGGCUGCAACUGUUUAUUAAAAACACAGCACUGUGCAAACACGAAAGUGGACGUAUACGGUGUGACGCCUGCCCGGUGCCGGAAGGUUAAUUGAUGGGGUUAUCCGUAAGGAGAAGCUCUUGAUCGAAGCCCCGGUAAACGGCGGCCGUAACUAUAACGGUCCUAAGGUAGCGAAAUUCCUUGUCGGGUAAGUUCCGACCUGCACGAAUGGCGUAAUGAUGGCCAGGCUGUCUCCACCCGAGACUCAGUGAAAUUGAACUCGCUGUGAAGAUGCAGUGUACCCGCGGCAAGACGGAAAGACCCCGUGAACCUUUACUAUAGCUUGACACUGAACAUUGAGCCUUGAUGUGUAGGAUAGGUGGGAGGCUUUGAAGCGUGGACGCCAGUCUGCGUGGAGCCAACCUUGAAAUACCACCCUUUAAUGUUUGAUGUUCUAACGUUGGCCCCUGACCGGGGUUGCGGACAGUGUCUGGUGGGUAGUUUGACUGGGGCGGUCUCCUCCCAAAGCGUAACGGAGGAGCACGAAGGUUAGCUAAUCCUGGUCGGACAUCAGGAGGUUAGUGCAAUGGCAUAAGCUAGCUUGACUGCGAGCGUGACGGCGCGAGCAGGUGCGAAAGCAGGUCAUAGUGAUCCGGUGGUUCUGAAUGGAAGGGCCAUCGCUCAACGGAUAAAAGGUACUCCGGGGAUAACAGGCUGAUACCGCCCAAGAGUUCAUAUCGACGGCGGUGUUUGGCACCUCGAUGUCGGCUCAUCACAUCCUGGGGCUGAAGUAGGUCCCAAGGGUAUGGCUGUUCGCCAUUUAAAGUGGUACGCGAGCUGGGUUUAGAACGUCGUGAGACAGUUCGGUCCCUAUCUGCCGUGGGCGCUGGAGAAUUGAGGGGGGCUGCUCCUAGUACGAGAGGACCGGAGUGGACGCAUCACUGGUGUUCGGGUUGUCAUGCCAAUGGCACUGCCCGGUAGCUAAAUGCGGAAGAGAUAAGUGCUGAAAGCAUCUAAGCACGAAACUUGCCCCG